AAAAAGUGGCUUGGGUAAUUGCUUGAAUCUUGAUGAUUAUUCCAGUGAGAGCCCAUAGUCGCAACGCAAGCAUGGAAGAGGAGGUCCCAGAGGGUCAAAACUGAGGGGCUGUCAUCGGGAGCUCCUUUCCUUCACUCUCGAUCGCCUUCACAAGGUAAAAAAAAAAAAGUUUUGAUUCCAACCGAAGUUCUUCAGUGAUGGAAGCGGAAUGAUAUUGUUAUUUCUUGUAAUUGAAACUUUGAAAGGAACCGGAACUUCUCGAGUAGAUGCGGAGAGAAUACAGAGGCAAAUGCAAGAUUUUGUGAUAUUUAAUUUUUUUAUUUAUAUACUUUGGUUUUGUUCACCCAAUUUUAACAAUCAUGUUCCUGCUCCACGAAGUUGUUCUGAGCGUUGAGUUUGAUUUUUUGAAACAAACAUUUCCAAUUUUAAC
This 430-nucleotide long non-coding RNA is filed under the name Citrus sinensis (sweet orange). RNAcentral describes it as "long non-coding RNA (CSIN_LNC005752)". The record is from RNAcentral. Lineage: Eukaryota; Viridiplantae; Streptophyta; Magnoliopsida; Sapindales; Rutaceae.